AUAAACGCUGGCGGCGUGCCUAAUACAUGCAAGUCGAGCGAACAGAUGAGGAGCUUGCUCCUCUGACGUUAGCGGCGGACGGGUGAGUAACACGUGGAUAACCUACCUAUAAGACUGGGAUAACUUCGGGAAACCGGAGCUAAUACCGGAUAAUAUAUUGAACCGCAUGGUUCAAUAGUGAAAGACGGUUUUGCUGUCACUUAUAGAUGGAUCCGCGCCGCAUUAGCUAGUUGGUAAGGUAACGGCUUACCAAGGCAACGAUGCGUAGCCGACCUGAGAGGGUGAUCGGCCACACUGGAACUGAGACACGGUCCAGACUCCUACGGGAGGCAGCAGUAGGGAAUCUUCCGCAAUGGGCGAAAGCCUGACGGAGCAACGCCGCGUGAGUGAUGAAGGUCUUCGGAUCGUAAAACUCUGUUAUUAGGGAAGAACAAAUGUGUAAGUAACUAUGCACGUCUUGACGGUACCUAAUCAGAAAGCCACGGCUAACUACGUG
Molecule: ribosomal RNA, 496 nt
Filed under: uncultured bacterium
Lineage: Bacteria
Description: partial 16S ribosomal RNA
Rfam family: Bacterial small subunit ribosomal RNA
Source: RNAcentral